CCUACGGGUGGCUGCAGUGAGGAAUAUUGGUCAAUGGGCGCAAGCCUGAACCAGCCAAGUCGCGUGAGGGAAGACGGCCCUACGGGUUGUAAACCUCUUUUGCCGGGGAGCAAGCCUGAGCACGUGUGCCUUUUUGUAUGUACUUUAUGAAUAAGGAUCGGCUAACUCCGUGCCAGCAGCCGCGGUAAUACGGAGGAUCCGAGCGUUAUCCGGAUUUAUUGGGUUUAAAGGGAGCGUAGAUGGGUUGUUAAGUCAGUUGUGAAAGUUUGCGGCUCAACCGUAAAAUUGCAAUUGAUACUGGCAGCCUUGAGUACAGUUGAGGUAGGCGGAAUUCGUGGUGUAGCGGUGAAAUGCUUAGAUAGCACGAAGAACUCCGAUUGCGAAGGCAGCCUACUAAACUGCCACUGACAUUGAUGCUCGAAAGUGUGGGUAUCAAACAGGAUUAGAUACCCGGGUAGUC
RNAcentral lists this ribosomal RNA (460 nucleotides) under uncultured bacterium. RNAcentral's name for it is "partial 16S ribosomal RNA". It matches the Rfam family "Bacterial small subunit ribosomal RNA", at positions 338 to 795 of the family's 1533-position model. The record is from RNAcentral.